Triticum aestivum (bread wheat) is the source of this 135-nucleotide non-coding RNA. The record is from Rfam. Lineage: Eukaryota; Viridiplantae; Streptophyta; Magnoliopsida; Poales; Poaceae.
CAUGUACUCCCUCCGUCCAAAAAUACUUGUCAUCAAAAUGGAUAAAAGGAGAUGUAUCUAGACAUAUUUUAGCUCUGGAUACAUCCUUUUUUAUCCAUUUUGAUGACAAGUAUUUUCGGACGGAGGGAGUAGGAA